Molecule: ribosomal RNA, 1023 nt
Filed under: Triticum aestivum (bread wheat)
Lineage: Eukaryota; Viridiplantae; Streptophyta; Magnoliopsida; Poales; Poaceae
Description: partial small subunit ribosomal RNA
Source: RNAcentral
AUGGAAGUGAAAUCCAGGGCCAGUUUAAAGGACCCAUCUGUUAACAUUCCUGUUAAAUUUGAUUUCAAUAAGUUUCAGGAGGAUAUUUUUCAAGAAUAUGCUUUGAUCGCCCGGUCCAUGCCAAAUGAUAUAAUCACCCAAGAUCCUACUCCUAAGUCGCUACACGCGGUCUUCUAUGAGCUAUCUCCCCAAUUGUGGCCCAUCUUAGAGAAGGACAGCGUCCGGUGCUUACUCAACUUUUUGGUGAGCAAGCGGGGUAUGACAUGGAAACAUACCAUCACCUCACAAACCUUAACUUACAUGAUCAGUUAUGAUGCCCUACGAUGUGCAAAAGUUAUAUUGGAGGGCAAGGCACCAAGGCUCAAUGGACACCAUGCCAAUCCCAACUGCAUUAACCCAUAUGGAUACUUCCCGCUCCAUGAAGCUGCCGAAAGGUUUUCUGUUGACAUGAUCAAGUUACUCUUUCGUCAUGGUGCAUCAGCCAGUGUACGCACAGUCGGGGAUAACAUCAUUGAGAACCUACUCCCACUCCAUGUUGCGGUCGAAAAUACUUGCCUGCAUAAGUAUUUGGAGGAUAAUUUAUUUCCAUACCAGAACCAUUGGGAUUAUAUCUACAAGAUUAUCCAUCUGCUAUGCAUGCCUGAAAUGAAAAUCUUUUUGGAUACGGUUAGACUGCUAGCAGAAAGAACAGAUAAUCUAGUUGAUGAGAUAUGGAAUUACGUGAAGGAUGGAAAACUUGUCCAGUCUGCAGUUUUACUUCUGUCAGCUCAAGCGCAAAUCCGUGGGGGCUGUUCCUCCAAACGCAACGGCAAUAAUAAGCGUGAUGGGUUUGAUAUUAUCAUGUGCCAUAUAGUGAGACAUUUGGUUACCCUAAGAUCGGAGAACAAAAAUACAAAUACACGGAAGCUGCGUGAGGAAGAGAGAAUAUUUAUGGAGUUUACGGGCCUGCUUGUUGAUAUUGUUUCGCAAGCUGGUGAAGCCCUUUCUGCAUACAUUCAGGCACAUUCAAAGUGUUCAUGCUAA